UACAGAGGGUGCGAGCGUUGUCCGGAAUCACUGGGCGUAAAGGGCGCGUAGGUGGUGACCUAAGCGUGCGGUGAAAGCCCGAGGCUCAACCUCGGGUCGGCCGUGCGAACUGGGUCACUGGAGCAGAAUAGAGGCAGGUGGAAUUCCGGGUGUAGCGGUGGAAUGCGUAGAGAUCCGGAAGAACACCGGUGGCGAAGGCGGCCUGCUGGGUUCUGGCUGACACUGAGGCGCGAAAGCGUGGGGAGCAAACAGG
Molecule: ribosomal RNA, 253 nt
Filed under: uncultured bacterium
Lineage: Bacteria
Description: partial 16S ribosomal RNA
Rfam family: Bacterial small subunit ribosomal RNA
Source: RNAcentral